GUUCAAUUGGAGUGGCAGUAGAUUUGACAUGGUUCACACUUAAUUUCAAUGAUUCUCGUUAGGGAUGGCUAAUUGUCUAACUUGUCCAUCAAACAUUUUAACCCAUUUCUAUAGAAUUUUUUUGAGAUUCCUUACCUAUUCCUAUUUCCUACUAUUUUUAAGUUUUAACAGAAAAAUAAUGGGUAUUGAUAGUAGGAAAUGGACUUCGGAAAAAUUAAUAUAUUGCUAUUUGGUUGUGGCUCAAUCACUUCAUGUUACUAGGCUUGGUUUUUCAAUUUCUCCAAUGCAGAUGGUAGUGGGCAGCCUAUGGUCUAGUCUAGAAUAGUCAAUGACUUCAAUACCAUACAAAAGGU
This 353-nucleotide unclassified non-coding RNA is filed under the name Hevea brasiliensis (rubber tree). Lineage: Eukaryota; Viridiplantae; Streptophyta; Magnoliopsida; Malpighiales; Euphorbiaceae. The record is from RNAcentral.